ACCUUCGUGGUAUAAUGGUCAGCACACUCGGCGCGUAUUCGAGAGGUUCAAAGGUUCGAGUCCUGUCGAGGGCA
Molecule: transfer RNA, 74 nt
Filed under: Stegodyphus mimosarum
Lineage: Eukaryota; Metazoa; Arthropoda; Arachnida; Araneae; Eresidae
Rfam family: tRNA
About the family: Transfer RNA (tRNA) molecules are approximately 80 nucleotides in length. Their secondary structure includes four short double-helical elements and three loops (D, anti-codon, and T loops). Further hydrogen bonds mediate the characteristic L-shaped molecular structure. tRNAs have two regions of fundamental functional importance: the anti-codon, which is responsible for specific mRNA codon recognition, and the 3' end, to which the tRNAs corresponding amino acid is attached (by aminoacyl-tRNA synthetases). tRNAs cope with the degeneracy of the genetic code in two manners: having more than one tRNA (with a specific anti-codon) for a particular amino acid; and 'wobble' base-pairing, i.e. permitting non-standard base-pairing at the 3rd anti-codon position.
Source: Rfam by way of RNAcentral